Molecule: ribosomal RNA, 48 nt
Filed under: Chenopodium album (lamb's quarters)
Lineage: Eukaryota; Viridiplantae; Streptophyta; Magnoliopsida; Caryophyllales; Amaranthaceae
Source: RNAcentral
GUGAUCAUACCAUCACUAAUGCACCGGAUCCCAUCAGAACUCCGCAGU